Molecule: ribosomal RNA, 253 nt
Filed under: uncultured bacterium
Lineage: Bacteria
Description: partial 16S ribosomal RNA
Rfam family: Bacterial small subunit ribosomal RNA
Source: RNAcentral
UACAGAGGUCUCAAGCGUUGUUCGGAUUCAUUGGGCGUAAAGGGUGCGUAGGCGGCGGGGUAAGUCGGGUGUGAAAUCUCAGAGCUCAACUCUGAAACUGCACUCGAUACUGCUCUGCUUGAGGACUGGAGAGGAGACUGGAAUUCACGGUGUAGCAGUGAAAUGCGUAGAUAUCGUGAGGAAGACCAGUGGCGAAGGCGGGUCUCUGGACAGUUCCUGACGCUGAGGCGCGAAGGCCAGGGGAGCAAACGGG